GUUAGGUUAGGCUAUAAAUGUGUUUAUUACUUUUUUCACUGAAAGGUUUGAUCAACGGAUUUUUACGACAAGAAGCACUCAUUAUGAGAGGAAAGGUUAAAAAGUUUAUGAUGAUAUGAUGCAGAAAUUACUUACACCACACAUGGUGUUCCCUCUUACCAAAACUGUCGAUAGGCAAUUUCCAUUAAGUACGUAAUGUAAGAAGUCGCAGUUCGAUCAAUUAUUAGAGAGCAAUUUCAAAAAUGUAUUGAAAAAUGUUCAGGUAUAGAAGGAGGGAUUUAAUAUGAAGUUUUCAACUUGAAAAGGAAAUAUAUAUAAAGGAAACAGAUUUUGUAGUAAACCAAUUACCUCUUUUAAUGAAAGAAGUCCACACUGAUGGUGCCUGCUCACUUUAAUCAAUUAAUUAAUGGUGAAUUGAAUGAACUAUUUCAACGGAUUUCAAUAACAUGGACUCAUUUUUCUGGGGUCAUAUUAAGAAUGAAGUGUACAAAAUACCUCCAGUAACAAGAGAUGACAUGAUGGAGAGAAUACGGAAUGAAUUUUGGAA
Molecule: long non-coding RNA, 547 nt
Organism: Diorhabda carinulata
Lineage: Eukaryota; Metazoa; Arthropoda; Insecta; Coleoptera; Chrysomelidae
Exons: 3
Source: RefSeq, a predicted model, not a curated record